CAGGCAGAUGAAGCAUAGCCGUUAUAAUAUUAUAGCGGAGGAAAGUCCGGACUGCAUUGGGACGCAUAGCGGCUAACGGCCGUGCGGAGCAAUCCGACGAUUAGAGCUACAGAGACGAGCUGAUUAAAUUCAGAGUGAAACGAGCAAUCUCUAUGUGCAGCAACCCCAUAAAGGUUUUCCGCCCAGUCCCAGGGCUAUGGAUAACGGGUAGGGGGCUUGACAUUUUGUGGCAACACAUUAUGCAGACUAAUUAUGCUUGCUACCAUAAAUAAUGUUCGUGUAUGUCCGACACAACAACAUAAAAAUGGCAGUACAGAAUCCGGCUUAUAUAUCUGACCUGGGGG
RNAcentral lists this RNase P RNA (344 nucleotides) under Candidatus Enterousia onthequi. Its description in RNAcentral is "RNase P RNA component class A". It matches the Rfam family "Bacterial RNase P class A". Rfam says of the family: Ribonuclease P (RNase P) is a ubiquitous endoribonuclease, found in archaea, bacteria and eukarya as well as chloroplasts and mitochondria. The record is from RNAcentral. Lineage: Bacteria; Pseudomonadati; Pseudomonadota; Alphaproteobacteria.